This 156-nucleotide ribosomal RNA is filed under the name Tor tor (Tor mahseer). RNAcentral describes it as "5.8S ribosomal RNA". It matches the Rfam family "5.8S ribosomal RNA". From Rfam's summary of the family: 5.8S ribosomal RNA (5.8S rRNA) is a component of the large subunit of the eukaryotic ribosome. Lineage: Eukaryota; Metazoa; Chordata; Actinopteri; Cypriniformes; Cyprinidae. The record is from RNAcentral.
CAACUCUUAGCGGUGGAUCACUCGGCUCGUGUGUCCAUGAAGGAGCAGCUAGCUGCGAGAACUAAUGUGAAUUGCAGGACACAUUGAUCAUCGACACUUUGAACGGACUUUGCGGCCCCAGGCUCCUCCCGUGGCCACGCCUGUCUGAGGGUCGCU